This 460-nucleotide ribosomal RNA is filed under the name uncultured bacterium. RNAcentral's name for it is "partial 16S ribosomal RNA". It matches the Rfam family "Bacterial small subunit ribosomal RNA", at positions 338 to 795 of the family's 1533-position model. The record is from RNAcentral.
CCUACGGGUGGCAGCAGUGAGGAAUAUUGGUCAAUGGACGAGAGUCUGAACCAGCCAAGUAGCGUGAAGGAUGACUGCCCUAUGGGUUGUAAACUUCUUUUAUAAAGGAAUAAAACGAGGCACGUGUGCCUUUUUGCAUGUACUUUAUGAAUAAGGAUCGGCUAACUCCGUGCCAGCAGCCGCGGUAAUACGGAGGAUCCGAGCGUUAUCCGGAUUUAUUGGGUUUAAAGGGAGCGUAGAUGGGUUGUUAAGUCAGGUGUGAAAGUUUGCGGCUCAACCGUAAAAUUGCAAUUGAUACUGGCAGUCGUGAGUACAGUUGAGGUAAGCGGAAUUCGUGGUGUAGCGGUGAAAUGCUUAGAUAUCACGAAGAACCCCGAUUGCGAAGGCAGCUUACUAAACUGUGACUGACAUUGAUGCUCGAAAGUGUGGGUAUCAAACAGGAUUAGAUACCCUGGUAGUC